RNAcentral lists this ribosomal RNA (1479 nucleotides) under uncultured organism. Its description in RNAcentral is "SSU rRNA". It matches the Rfam family "Bacterial small subunit ribosomal RNA". The record is from RNAcentral.
GCUGUCGGCGUGCCUAAUACAUGCAAGUCGAGCGAGCGGAACUAACAGAUUUACUUCGGUAAUGACGUUAGGAAAGCGAGCGGCGGAUGGGUGAGUAACACGUGGGGAACCUGCCCCAUAGUCUGGGAUACCACUUGGAAACAGGUGCUAAUACCGGAUAAGAAAGCAGAUCGCAUGAUCAGCUUUUAAAAGGCGGCGUAAGCUGUCGCUAUGGGAUGGCCCCGCGGUGCAUUAGCUAGUUGGUAAGGUAAAGGCUUACCAAGGCGAUGAUGCAUAGCCGAGUUGAGAGACUGAUCGGCCACAUUGGGACUGAGACACGGCCCAAACUCCUACGGGAGGCAGCAGUAGGGAAUCUUCCACAAUGGACGCAAGUCUGAUGGAGCAACGCCGCGUGAGUGAAGAAGGUUUUCGGAUCGUAAAGCUCUGUUGUUGGUGAAGAAGGAUAGAGGUAGUAACUGGCCUUUAUUUGACGGUAAUCAACCAGAAAGUCACGGCUAACUACGUGCCAGCAGCCGCGGUAAUACGUAGGUGGCAAGCGUUGUCCGGAUUUAUUGGGCGUAAAGCGAGCGCAGGCGGAAGAAUAAGUCUGAUGUGAAAGCCCUCGGCUUAACCGAGGAACUGCAUCGGAAACUGUUUUUCUUGAGUGCAGAAGAGGAGAGUGGAACUCCAUGUGUAGCGGUGGAAUGCGUAGAUAUAUGGAAGAACACCAGUGGCGAAGGCGGCUCUCUGGUCUGCAACUGACGCUGAGGCUCGAAAGCAUGGGUAGCGAACAGGAUUAGAUACCCUGGUAGUCCAUGCCGUAAACGAUGAGUGCUAAGUGUUGGGAGGUUUCCGCCUCUCAGUGCUGCAGCUAACGCAUUAAGCACUCCGCCUGGGGAGUACGACCGCAAGGUUGAAACUCAAAGGAAUUGACGGGGGCCCGCACAAGCGGUGGAGCAUGUGGUUUAAUUCGAAGCAACGCGAAGAACCUUACCAGGUCUUGACAUCUAGUGUCAUUUGUAGAGAUACAAAGUUCCCUUCGGGGACGCUAAGACAGGUGGUGCAUGGCUGUCGUCAGCUCGUGUCGUGAGAUGUUGGGUUAAGUCCCGCAACGAGCGCAACCCUUGUUAUUAGUUGCCAGCAUUAAGUUGGGCACUCUAAUGAGACUGCCGGUGACAAACCGGAGGAAGGUGGGGAUGACGUCAAGUCAUCAUGCCCCUUAUGACCUGGGCUACACACGUGCUACAAUGGGCAGUACAACGAGAAGCGAGCCUGCGAAGGCAAGCGAAUCUCUGAAAGCUGUUCUCAGUUCGGACUGCAGUCUGCAACUCGACUGCACGAAGCUGGAAUCGCUAGUAAUCGCGGAUCAGCACGCCGCGGUGAAUACGUUCCCGGGCCUUGUACACACCGCCCGUCACACCAUGGGAGUCUGCAAUGCCCAAAGCCGGUGGCCUAACCUUCGGGAAGGAGCCGUCUAAGGCAGGGCAGAUGACUGGGGUG